RNAcentral lists this ribosomal RNA (725 nucleotides) under uncultured archaeon. RNAcentral describes it as "bacterial SSU rRNA". It matches the Rfam family "Archaeal small subunit ribosomal RNA", at positions 79 to 805 of the family's 1478-position model. The record is from RNAcentral.
AGGCAGACGGCUCAGUAACGCGUAGUCAACCUACCCUAUGGACGGGAAUAAUCUCGGGAAACUGAGCAUAAUACCCGGCGUACCACCAUUCCUGGAAUGGUUGGUGGUUAAAAUGAUUCGUCGCCGUAGGAUGGGACUGCGACCUAUCAGCUUGUUGGUGAGGUAAGGGCCCACCAAGGCGAUUACAGGUACGGGCUCUGAGAGGAGAAGCCCGGAGAUGGGUACUGAGACACGGACCCAGGCCCUAUGGGGCGCAGCAGGCGAGAAAACUUUGCAAUGUGCGAAAGCACGACAAGGUUAAUCCGAGUGAUUUCUGCUAAAGGAAUCUUUUGCCAGUUCUAAAAAUACUAGUGAAUAAGGGGUGGGCAAGUUCUGGUGUCAGCCGCCGCGGUAAAACCAGCACCUCAAGUGGUCAGGAGGAUUAUUGGGCCUAAAGCAUCCGUAGCCUGCUCUGUAAGUUUUCGGUUAAAUCUAUAUGCUCAACACAUAGGCUGCCGAAAAUACUGCAGUGCUAGGAAGUGGGAGAGGUAGACGGUACUUGAUAGGAAGGGGUAAAAUCCUUUGACCUAUCGAUGACCACCUGUGGCGAAGGCGGUCUACCAGAACACGUUCGACGGUGAGGGAUGAAAGCUGGGGGAGCAAACCGGAUUAGAUACCCGGGUAGUCCCAGCUGUAAACGAUGCUGACUCGAUGAUGCAUUGGCAUAUAGCCAGUGCAGUGUCGCA